UGCAUUCUAUAGUUAUGUGUAUGUUGUUGUCAUACAUCAAAUGAUAAUACACAUGGAAAUUUAGCUAGAACUUAUGUAAAACCCUAGUUAUCCUUAUAGUUUUCACCGUCUACCUCGAGAGAAACCCUUCCGUUUGCCACAAAUUCCUCCACCUUGACCAAGAUUUAAAUAGUUGAUCCAAAACACUUCUCUCCAAUGCCCUCAGCAACCUUCCCAAACAAUCUUACUUACAUCAAGUUAAGUCAAACCAAAACUUCUCUGUGUAGAACCCUAGCCUUCAACCACCACAAAUGAAGACUGGUUUUGCACAAUGCAAGACACAAGGUUCUCCUUCCAAACCUAAAACCUCAAAAUACCCAAACCUGCUCUUGCUGAGCCUACCUCGAAAACAGAAGACCGAAUGGUCAUCAAGGUCAUCAAAAAAAGAAAACCUGCUUUGGUCUCAUACCAAUUAAUUGAGCCUUGCAAACUAUUCUACCUAACAUCUCUGAACCCUCCAAAUUCCAACUUACUCCAUCAUCAUCGCCCUGACCAGAGAUAAGUUAUGAUCAAGCUACCCUUAAAGCCCUAAACCAAAACAACCACUUGUAAACGAUUUGACCAACCCUUUUAUGCUCAAACUUCAACCUUGGCACUUCCAUGACAUUUGUUCAUCUCUUCUUCUGACAAUAAAAAAGAGAAUGUGAGGACAGACACAUUUGACAAGGGCAUUGAGGACAUGGUCAUAUCCAUUAUCCAUGGUGUCAUCGGAUAACGCGAAAUUGGAAAUGAUAGAUGCUCUAAUGAUGUCUACCUUUCUGCUGCUAAUCAAGCUUCAUAUUCCGAUGAAGAUAUGUAUAAAGAAUAUAUGUUGAGAGUGUCAGUUUCAUAGGAUGAAAAUGAGUGCACGAACUGAAGGUUCCCUCUCAUGCAUAUGCCCUUCAGAGAAUAAUGGCUAUCCAAGUUCAACGAUCCCCUCGACUAUGUACUAGUGAAUGAAUCCCUAUGUUGGACCAAGGACAAGUUGCAGCAUCAUUUAUCCCCUCAAGGACUGACAACGGGGCAUUCAAACGUUCUCAUCACAACCCUUAGAGAACUGCAUUUCUGACUAUCGUCAUUGGUACAAUUAAAUAAAGGAAGAUGAUAUUUUAACAAUUUUUUUUAAUAAUUUUUGUACAACAGGAUAUGUGUCACUAUUUUAUUGGUUUGUUUGAAUUUAUUUUAAAAAGAUAUUUGAAACAGACUAAUCAUAAACUAUC
RNAcentral lists this long non-coding RNA (1238 nucleotides) under Vigna radiata. RNAcentral describes it as "long non-coding RNA (VRAD_LNC011993)". Lineage: Eukaryota; Viridiplantae; Streptophyta; Magnoliopsida; Fabales; Fabaceae. The record is from RNAcentral.